RNAcentral lists this ribosomal RNA (502 nucleotides) under uncultured bacterium. RNAcentral describes it as "bacterial SSU rRNA". It matches the Rfam family "Bacterial small subunit ribosomal RNA", at positions 9 to 506 of the family's 1533-position model. The record is from RNAcentral.
GAGUUUGAUCCUGGCUCAGAUUGAACGCUGGCGGCAGGCCUAACACAUGCAAGUCGAGCGGUAGAGAGAAGCUUGCUUCUCUUGAGAGCGGCGGACGGGUGAGUAAUGCCUAGGAAUCUGCCUGGUAGUGGGGGAUAACGCUCGGAAACGGACGCUAAUACCGCAUACGUCCUACGGGAGAAAGCAGGGGACCUUCGGGCCUUGCGCUAUCAGAUGAGCCUAGGUCGGAUUAGCUAGUUGGUGAGGUAAUGGCUCACCAAGGCGACGAUCCGUAACUGGUCUGAGAGGAUGAUCAGUCACACUGGAACUGAGACACGGUCCAGACUCCUACGGGAGGCAGCAGUGGGGAAUAUUGGACAAUGGGCGAAAGCCUGAUCCAGCCAUGCCGCGUGUGUGAAGAAGGUCUUCGGAUUGUAAAGCACUUUAAGUUGGGAGGAAGGGCAGUAAAUUAAUACUUUGCUGUUUUGACGUUACCGACAGAAUAAGCACCGGCUAACUCCGU